ACAAACGUAAAAAUCUGUUCAGGGAGUCAAGUCAACAGAAGAAACAAGAGAGAGAAGGUCAUCAUGCUGAUACGCAUGACAAGACCAGGACAUCACACAUUUCAAUAACCACAGAUGAAGGUUCGACUGCAGAAAAUGAAGAUGUAGCUGAUUCUGAAACUGUGGGUUCAACAUCCAGGCAGAUUUUGCAGCAUGAUGAGAGCUCCAAGAGAUUUGUUGGAAGUAGUGGUUUAGCUGAGGUUCAUAAGGAGCUUCGCAGUGUUCCUGGUUCAAGUGGUGUAGAAUUAAUAGGACAAAGAAGGUUUACUAUUUCUUCAGAGAAGGAUGUUAAGUUUGGGAAUAUACCAUAUACUAUCCCAUUCCAAGGCCAAUCAAUAAACAUCAUGAACCUGCCUUACUCUAUGCCUCUGAAUUCUAACACUGUUAGUACGACAAGUACGACUAGUUACCCAGUUCCUGGCAUGAUGCAAGUGAUGGCUACCACAAGUGGAGAUAGACCGGGAAGCCAGCCUAUCAUACCUGCAAACUUGCCAUUAAUGUUUGGCUACUCUUCUGUACAGCAACAAGUACGACUAGUUACCCAAUUCCUGGCAUGAUUCAAGUGAUGGCUACCACAAGUGGAGAUAGACCAGGAAGCCAGCCUGUCAUACCUGCAAACUUGCCAUUAAUGUUUGGCUACUCUUCUGUACAGCUUCCAACAUUGGACAAGGAUAACCAACGCGGUGUGGCUUCUCAUCUUCAACAGCUUCACCCUUCCCAUGGAAGAGGCCCUCUGGGCUCAGAUAUGCAGAAUGAUGG
RNAcentral lists this long non-coding RNA (798 nucleotides) under Nicotiana benthamiana. Its description in RNAcentral is "long non-coding RNA (NBEN_LNC006880)". The record is from RNAcentral. Lineage: Eukaryota; Viridiplantae; Streptophyta; Magnoliopsida; Solanales; Solanaceae.